This 425-nucleotide ribosomal RNA is filed under the name uncultured bacterium. RNAcentral describes it as "bacterial SSU rRNA". It matches the Rfam family "Bacterial small subunit ribosomal RNA", at positions 354 to 796 of the family's 1533-position model. The record is from RNAcentral.
GUGGGGGAUAUUGCACAAUGGGGGAAACCCUGAUGCAGCAACGCCGCGUGAGGGAAGAAGGUCUUCGGAUUGUAAACCUCUGUCCUAUGGGACGAUAAUGACGGUACCAUAGGAGGAAGCUCCGGCUAACUACGUGCCAGCAGCCGCGGUAAUACGUAGGGAGCGAGCGUUGUCCGGAAUUACUGGGUGUAAAGGGUGCGUAGGCGGCUUUGCAAGUCAGGCGUGAAAUCUAUGGGCUUAACCCAUAAACUGCGCUUGAAACUGUAGGGCUUGAGUGAAGUAGAGGCAGGCGGAAUUCCCGGUGUAGCGGUGAAAUGCGUAGAGAUCGGGAGGAACACCAGUGGCGAAGGCGGCCUGCUGGGCUUUAACUGACGCUGAGGCACGAAAGCGUGGGUAGCAAACAGGAUUAGAAACCCUAGUAGUCC